GACGUAGGGGGCCAGCGUUGUUCGGAAUUACUGGGUGUAAAGGGUUCGUAGGCGGUGCGGCAAGUCGGGAGUGAAAUCUCUGGGCUCAACCCAGAGGCUGCUUCCGAAACUGCUGUGCUUGAGUGUGGGAGAGGCGCGUGGAAUUGCAGGUGUAGCGGUGAAAUGCGUAGAUAUCUGGAGGAACACCGGUGGCGAAGGCGGCAUCCUGGACCAACACUGACGCUGAGGAGCGAAAGCCAGGGGAGCAAACGGG
RNAcentral lists this ribosomal RNA (253 nucleotides) under uncultured bacterium. RNAcentral's name for it is "partial 16S ribosomal RNA". It matches the Rfam family "Bacterial small subunit ribosomal RNA", at positions 524 to 776 of the family's 1533-position model. The record is from RNAcentral.